AUGUAUUCUUUUUAUUGAUUAAAAAUUUUGGGUUAACCAACUAUGGUAUUGUUGAUAAGUCAAACAUAAAUUUUUUAACCCUUUCGUCAAAACGACGACGCGCGAUAUUAUUUUCGACUAAAAUAUAUUUAUUCGGUUUGUUUGAUCUCAUUUUUCGUAUAGCUGCUGCCAACGUUGAAGUACAAAGCAUUUAGCAGGAAUGGAGUUUUAUUUAUCCAUAAGCUAGCGAAUCCGUUACACUGAUAUUUUUAUAAAUAAUGGGUCUUAAUUUUAUUCUACCAUUCACAAUAGAGAUAUUUCUGCAGGUGGCCUAACAAAGUUGUGAUAAACAUAUCAUGACGGCAUUCCGGAAAACAGAUGUUCUACAAACACCUGCACUGGUAAUAUUUCCAGAACUUCGCUGUACUGCAUAGAUUCAUUUCACUCCCUACAAUUUUCCCUGCACUGCACUUUAUUGUACCAAAAUAAAAAUAGUCUAUAAACUUCACAACCAUUCACAA
This is a long non-coding RNA of Stomoxys calcitrans (stable fly), 500 nucleotides long. RefSeq lists it as uncharacterized. Lineage: Eukaryota; Metazoa; Arthropoda; Insecta; Diptera; Muscidae. The record is from RefSeq and is a predicted model, not a curated record. The transcript is spliced from 3 exons.